AUAGCUCAGCUGGAAGAGCAGGCGGCUUUUAACCGUCAGGUCGUGGGUUCGAAUCCCACUAUCUCCA
This 67-nucleotide transfer RNA is filed under the name Clostridiales bacterium. RNAcentral's name for it is "tRNA-Lys". It matches the Rfam family "tRNA". Rfam says of the family: Transfer RNA (tRNA) molecules are approximately 80 nucleotides in length. Their secondary structure includes four short double-helical elements and three loops (D, anti-codon, and T loops). Lineage: Bacteria; Bacillati; Bacillota; Clostridia; Eubacteriales. The record is from RNAcentral.